GUCAUGACAAGUUUUCCUGAGGAAGAUUUGUUAGAAAGAGCUUAUUGAAACUAAAAGUCAUAAAAGUCUGCAGAACUUAUUUAGAUCAAGCUCAAAAAUGUUUUCCAUGGAUAGAUUUUAAACCUGCUGUUUAGAGUACAUCGUUUUUGAUGUAACAGGCAUAACCUGGGACUAUUUCUUGUGUCUGAUGUUUUUGUAUUUAACCAUUGUCAUGUUGUUUUCAUUGGUUCAUAGAGGCUUAGUGUUGGAUAACCCAUCCGUUACGGACGCAAAUUAUGUUUUUGCCAUGUUGUUCUUGUCUAGAACAGUGAAAUAAUUCUGGGUAUCUUCCCAUUUCCUCCUCCUGUAAACUGUGAGCACCAUUUACAGAGUAGAGCAGAAGAGUAGAAGAGGUGGACAGCAGGGGAGAGAGAGAGUGGAGCUGUUUUCAGAGAUGACAUUUUAAUUAAUGGCAUAUUAUUUUAAUUAAUGGCGUAUAGAGAAAACAACUGAAACAGAGCAGGAAUAACAUUCAAACUACAGCACAGAACAUGAAGUAUGAAAGCCUGUGCUUUAAUUGUGUGUAAGAAAAAAAAAAAAACAAGGUUAAACUCAAUUUUGCUUCUGUGGUUAACGCCUUAGCUUUGACAGCCCUACAUGUUAUAUUUUAAAAUUUAGAUUAUUUCCACUGGUAUUUUUAUUUCGCUUGUUACUCAUCAAAUUGACAAUCCAACUGAAACACGAUUGACUUCUGGAAAAAAAAAAAAUGGACGACACAACCUGGAUUCAUAUGGAGCGUGGCAGCAUUGUUGCGAGAUCCAAAUCUGAAGAAAGAUACUAAUAUUAUCAUAAAAAGACAAAAGAUGUAGGUCAUCAUUGCAGAUAGGCCUGUCGAGGAAAAGAAAUCCUAUCUGAGCAGUCUGAAGGAUAAAAAAAUAAAUACAUUUCAAAUCAUAAUUCAUAGAAAAACAUCUUUAGCACCCAUACAAGUCCGAGUGCUCGCCCUUGAUGUGCAGUUCUCCAGCCAGCUGUGGCGAGGGUCCCAUUGUUCCCACUCAGUUAUGCCCUUGAAACCAACAAUUGAACACAACUGUAAAUUUCCUCUCCCCCCCUUUUAAAUUGUUUAUGAGCUUCGUUGUCCUUUGAUCGGGGCGUCAUCACACGGCAGAGGAGGAAAUCGAAUUAAUUGCAUGUCCGUUAAUCGCAUUACAUCUUCAUUAACAUGCCGUGAGUCAGGGCUUAAGCUCAUCACACGUGCCUGGAGGAGAGGAAGAGAGGGGAGGAGCAGGGAAGAGCAGGAGGGGAGAGCAGUUGAGAAGGACAAGAUGGAAACCGGGGUUUCCCUCUCCAUAGGCUCUCCCUCCUCAGCACAGCGGUGGCUUUUUGAAACGACUGUCUCCAUGAAUCCUAGCCCAGGUAAGUAUUGGAUUCAUUAAGAUAGAAAGUGUUAUCUUUUCUUCAAAUGCUAGAAGUCUCAACUUAAACCACAUACAGUGCCUUGCAAAUGUAUUCAAACGUCUUGAACUUUUCGACAUUUUGUAAGAACUACAAGCUACAGUGUUAUUCAUUAGGCUGGUAUCGAAUACGCCAACAUAAAUCUGUGCCCAACUGAGAAAUGGAAGAAAAAUGACACGCGGUUUUUAAGUGGGAAGUAUUAUGUAUUUUCCUGUCACUUAGUGUCAUUUUCUAGCACAAUAAAGUAACUAUGCAACCUUCAGUUGUUAUAAAAAUGCUGCAUGUAAAUCAAUCGUAACUUAAAAGAAUUUGAUGAAUUAAAACUGGCCUCUGCCUUCAAAAAGCUCCUACACUUUCUGAUGUGAUCACAACUACGGUCCUCCAUUAUGUAGUUUACAAUCGUUCUUUUUAGCAUUGGAGUGAGAAGUAGUUCAUAUGAUAAUCUUGCUAAUUGCUGCCGAUGCUAGUCUGGAGGAGCUGAGUGAGGGAAGAGGUGCUUCUGAAAAUAACAGCCUCUAGGUGGAAACCCUUGUCGCUCUGGAGAGCAGAGAGUUCAGUGAAGCAGCGCUGGCGAAGGAGGAUUUAGAUGGAUGCCGGAGCAGAGUUCACGACGACCGAAAGGGGAGAUCAAUAUUUACAAACCCGUUUGAGCGUUGACCUUUCACAAACUCCGCCAUACUGUUUAAUGUUCUGGCCUGCACUUUAAUGGACACAUCAUCACGCACUUCAUCAAGCUGUCCUGCCCCCUCGUACGCCUACUUUAUGCACUUCAGGUUUUUGUUUUUUUUUUCUUUCCUUACAAUCUCAAGGGGAGUUUAUCCUUGAGAUGUUUUGCUUGGAGUGUGGUAAUAACUUUGUCAAAGCCAACUGGAGUAUGACUGAAGUAAAAGAAAAAAAA
Poecilia latipinna (sailfin molly) is the source of this 2332-nucleotide long non-coding RNA. RefSeq lists it as uncharacterized. NCBI's taxonomy places the organism in Eukaryota, Metazoa, Chordata, Actinopteri, Cyprinodontiformes, Poeciliidae. The transcript has 3 exons. The record is from RefSeq and is a predicted model, not a curated record.